Long non-coding RNA from Clarias gariepinus (North African catfish), 680 nucleotides. RefSeq lists it as uncharacterized. Lineage: Eukaryota; Metazoa; Chordata; Actinopteri; Siluriformes; Clariidae. The record is from RefSeq and is a predicted model, not a curated record. The transcript has 3 exons.
AUUUACUUAACGUUUCAUCGAUAUCUUCAGGACUAAAGGUGGAGACAUUGGCGGAAAACUUAAAAAGAUUCUGCACCAGAUUGAAAAUGAUAAAUCCAACAUCAACGCGAGACGAACCGCUGUUCUUCAUGGACUACCAUUCCUUCUCGGGGAGGACCCCACAGAUUUUUACAAGACCUGUUUUGAUUGUGACGACAAUGAAGACCUGUCCGACAUUACAAUUGGAAUUCUGACGGUGAUUCCCGAGCACUCUGCAACCGCAACACUACCCUACUCUCUGCAUCUUGAUGCCAUAACAACAGCUAUCAUUUUGGAAGGUACCAUGGUUGUGGAUAACGUGGAAAAUCUUCCACAAGCAAUGUGUCUGCUCUUUGGACUGAUUUAUGCUCUAAACUUAGAGUAUCCUGCAGCUCUGAAGAGCACAUUUGAUUUCAUUCAGAGAGUGAUUUUGUCUCUUGGCCAUAAGUCACUCAAACCUAAAAUCCAAUCACUAAAAAAUCACUUGAUGCAGUAAUAGGUCAUUGCCAUGAUGUAAAAAAUUUUUCUAUGGUUAAUUACGGGUUCAUUACUAAGAGUUUGAGUGAAUAAAAUUGUCUUUAAGAGAACUCUAAAGAAAAUUGUUCAAUACUACACUGAUAGUUUUCCAGUUGUUGAAAAGGAAAAAUAUCCUAUUUAAAAGG